This 425-nucleotide ribosomal RNA is filed under the name uncultured bacterium. Its description in RNAcentral is "partial 16S ribosomal RNA". It matches the Rfam family "Bacterial small subunit ribosomal RNA", at positions 354 to 796 of the family's 1533-position model. The record is from RNAcentral.
GUUAGGAAUAUUGGACAAUGGGCGAAAGCCUGAUCCAGCCAUGCCGCGUGAACGAUGAAGGCCUUCGGGUUGUAAAGUUCUUUAGCCGAUGAUUAUAAUGGCUGUAGUCGGAAAAUAAGCCCCGGCUAACUUCGUGCCAGCAGCCGCGGUAAUACGAAGGGGGCGAGCGUUAUUCGGAAUCACUGGGCGUAAAGCGUGCGUAGGCGGUUUUGUAAGUUAGGAGUGAAAGCCCAGGGCUCAACCUUGGAAUUGCUCUUAAAACUGCAAGGCUCGAAUCUCGGAGAGGAUAGCGGAAUUUCCAGUGUAGCAGUGAAAUGCGUAGAUAUUGGAAGGAACACCAGUGGCGUAAGCGGCUAUCUGGACGAGUAUUGACGCUGAGGCACGAAAGCGUGGGGAUCAAACAGGAUUAGAAACCCUGGUAGUCC